CGCCGCGGACGUCCGGGACGGCGCGGGCGCUUCCCCUGCAGCUGGCCGGAAGGAUGGGGCUCUGGAGGGGCUGAGCCGGCGGUGACCCUGGCGGGCAGCCUGCAUGCCGUCCACACAUGGGGGGGCUCCUCACCUCGCAGGGCUGUGCACACCUCAGGAGGAAAUGAUCAUACAGAAAGGUCACAUCUGAGUUGAUGACUGAGACAGAGAUGAAGCUCAUCACUUCCAGGGGGUGAGCAAAGGACCCGUCCCAGGGCCUGAUGGUCUCCUGAUGAUCUAUGAAGACCUCAGCGCUUUUGCCUUUGCUCUGUGACUGGGGAGGGAAAACUCUGCCUGAAGCUGUACCCACUGAAAACCAGUGACCUGCAGCCUUCAAGCGCAGCUGGAAAUGAGUGGGGAGAGGAGCUGAAGCCAGAGACCUUGCGGGACAAACACUGAGUGUGUGGGGAUGUGACUGAGACACCCCACAGCCAGAGCAGACCUGACCUCCCCAAAGACCUGCCCAGCCGAGCACUAAGGCCAACGGACUCUCCAGAUUCGUCUGCUGCUGAUGUGUGUCUCUGUGGAGCCCAGGUGCCAGCACAGCCCACCAUGCGGGAGGGAUCAGGUGAGAACUGAAUCCCAGCCACGCAGGUGCUCCCAUCAGAGGAUGUGUGGGGGUCACCAGCCCCAGGAGCUCUACACGCCAGGGCCCCUCCAUCUCCACCGGCCUCACUGAGGGCCGGCAGCUCUGCACUGGCACCCUGGGCCACCUGCCCCAAACCCCAACACCUGAGCCUGCACUCAGGACUCUUGACAGCAGUGGGCACUGGGCAGGGGACAGACGUGAGGGAAUAGGAGCUGGACGUCUGCCAUACUGGCUGACGAGGGAGAGGCAGAAGUGUGGGUCACAGAGCCCACAGCACCGUAGCGCACGCCUGGCACCAUCACGUGUUACCAGGAGCUGCCCCCUUCUGGCUGUAGGUACCAGAUAGUGUCACCACGGUCACCCCGGGGAAGCCACCCUAAAAGCAAAAGUUGUGCUCGAGAUGAUGAACACUUCUGAGAGACCAUUGUGGUCAUUCUUGAAAUUAAGGAGAAACCUUUAUUUUCAACAAAAGUGCCCAGGAGAGAUGGUUCAUUGAUCCACUAGGAAAGAGUCUCUCACCACUUACAGCACCAAAAUAUAUAUUUAAAAAAUUAAAAAACACACAGCCCACCCCGCAUACACACACACACACACCCAUCUCCCCCAAAGCCACAUGACCCAGACCAAACAGGAAGACAACCAAACUGAGUGCCCUCGCACAAAAGAAGUCUUUGAAUUGGGGUUUACAAAUUCAUAUAGUCUUUCCUAUGAAAAAACAAAAACAAACCAAAAACCAAAGAGGGAAAGAAAACACUUCUACACGAAGGCCGGCCGUGAUGGGGGGGAGGAGGACACGCUGUCCUCCUGGAUGCUGACAGAACAAGAUGGUCAUCAGUGCUGCCUGGUGCUCUGAGCGGGGCCUCGGGUGGACCAGCGGCCCUAAGAUGAGGCGCCUUCAGGAGCUGAAGUGCCCAGAACGCUGAGCACACGCCAUGGGGCAGUCCUUGCCGGCCUUCCAGAAGAGACGGUAUCUUGCACUGGGAGUUUUCCAGUGCUUAAAAGGGCCAGUUUCCCUUUCAAAAUGAUGCUGGGUCAAAAAAAAAAAAAACAAAAAACAAAAACACAAACAGUAAAAGAAGGGA
This is a long non-coding RNA of Cervus elaphus (red deer), 1710 nucleotides long. RefSeq lists it as uncharacterized. The transcript has 2 exons. NCBI's taxonomy places the organism in Eukaryota, Metazoa, Chordata, Mammalia, Artiodactyla, Cervidae. The record is from RefSeq and is a predicted model, not a curated record.